UAGAGUUUGAUCAUGGCUCAGAUUGAACGCUGGCGGCAGGCCUAACACAUGCAAGUCGAGCGGAAACGACACUAACAAUCCUUCGGGUGCGUUAAUGGGCGUCGAGCGGCGGACGGGUGAGUAAUGCCUAGGAAAUUGCCUUAUGUGGGGGAUAACCAUUGGAAACGAUGGCUAAUACCGCAUAAUGCCUACGGGCCAAAGAGGGGGACCUUCGGGCCUCUCGCGUCAAGAUAUGCCUAGGUGGGAUUAGCUAGUUGGUGAGGUAAUGGCUCACCAAGGCGACGAUCCCUAGCUGGUCUGAGAGGAUGAUCAGCCACACUGGAACUGAGACACGGUCCAGACUCCUACGGGAGGCAGCAGUGGGGAAUAUUGCACAAUGGGCGAAAGCCUGAUGCAGCCAUGCCGCGUGUAUGAAGAAGGCCUUCGGGUUGUAAAGUACUUUCAGUUGUGAGGAAGGGGGUAGCGUUAAUAGCGCUAUCUCUUGACGUUAGCAACAGAAGAAGCACCGGCUAACUCCGUGCCAGCAGCCGCGGUAAUACGGAGGGUGCGAGCGUUAAUCGGAAUUACUGGGCGUAAAGCGCAUGCAGGUGGUUCAUUAAGUCAGAUGUGAAAGCCCGGGGCUCAACCUCGGAACUGCAUUUGAAACUGGUGAACUAGAGUACUGUAGAGGGGGGUAGAAUUUCA
Molecule: ribosomal RNA, 684 nt
Filed under: uncultured Vibrionaceae bacterium
Lineage: Bacteria; Pseudomonadati; Pseudomonadota; Gammaproteobacteria; Vibrionales; Vibrionaceae
Description: bacterial SSU rRNA
Rfam family: Bacterial small subunit ribosomal RNA
Source: RNAcentral